This 77-nucleotide non-coding RNA is filed under the name unclassified sequences. RNAcentral's name for it is "DUF3800-IX RNA". It matches the Rfam family "DUF3800-IX RNA". Rfam says of the family: Actinobacteria, Firmicutes (1 example), Nitrospirae, Proteobacteria, Verrucomicrobia (1 example). Nearby to DUF3800 The record is from Rfam by way of RNAcentral.
UCUUUGUGUUCGAACGGUCACCGUAGGGUGUGCCUGCCUUUUGAAUCAAUCUCCUUAGGCUAGAACACAAAGCACUA